UAGAGGAAGUAAAAGUCGUAACAAGGUUUCCGUAGGUGAACCUGCGGAAGGAUCAUUAUCGAAUCGUAGGCGAGGGUUGUCGCUGGCCUCUCGGGGCAUGUGCACGCCCGAGCCCUUGAAUCCCAAACACCACAUGUGAACCCACCGUAGGCCUUCGGGCCUAUGUCUUAUCAUAUAAUCUGAAUGUCUAAUAGAAUGUAAACCCAUUUCGUUGCCUUGAAAACGUAACGAAAGAAAACUAUACAACUUUCAACAACGGAUCUCUUGGCUCUCGCAUCGAUGAAGAACGCAGCGAAAUGCGAUAAGUAAUGUGAAUUGCAGAUUUUCAGUGAAUCAUCGAAUCUUUGAACGCACCUUGCGCCCCUUGGUAUUCCGAGGGGCAUGCCUGUUUGAGUGUCAUUAAAUCCUCAACCCCUCCGAUUCGUUUCGGUGGGGAUUGGACUUGGAGCGUGCUGGCGAAGGUCGGCUCCUCUUUAAAUGCAUCAGCGGAGAAAAUGCCUUUUGCGCCUCUGGCCGUUCAGCGUGAUAAUGAUGUUGCGCUGCGGUCGAGCUUAAGGUCCGCUUCCAAAGGUCCUCGGACAAAUAUACAUAUGACUUUGACCUCAAAUCAGGUAGGACUACCCGCUGAACUUAAGCAUAUCAUA
RNAcentral lists this ribosomal RNA (644 nucleotides) under Tylospora asterophora. Its description in RNAcentral is "eukaryotic LSU rRNA". The stretch from base 245 to 399 matches the Rfam family "5.8S ribosomal RNA". Lineage: Eukaryota; Fungi; Basidiomycota; Agaricomycetes; Atheliales; Atheliaceae. The record is from RNAcentral.